GAUCCUGGCUCAGGAUGAACGCUGGCGGCGUGCUUAACACAUGCAAGUCGAACGAGGAAUUUUAAAUGAGACUUCGGUGGAUUUUGGAAUACCGAGUGGCGGACGGGUGAGUAACGCGUGGGCAACCUGCCCUGUACAGGGGGACAACAGCUGGAAACGGCUGCUAAUACCGCAUAAGCGCACGGUAUCGCAUGAUACAGUGUAGAAAACUCCGGUGGUACAGGAUGGGCCCGNGUUGGAUUAGGUUAGG
RNAcentral lists this ribosomal RNA (250 nucleotides) under uncultured bacterium. RNAcentral describes it as "partial 16S ribosomal RNA". It matches the Rfam family "Bacterial small subunit ribosomal RNA", at positions 15 to 250 of the family's 1533-position model. The record is from RNAcentral.